RNAcentral lists this ribosomal RNA (380 nucleotides) under uncultured bacterium. RNAcentral describes it as "bacterial SSU rRNA". It matches the Rfam family "Bacterial small subunit ribosomal RNA", at positions 796 to 1176 of the family's 1533-position model. The record is from RNAcentral.
CACGCCCUAAACGAUGUCGACUAGUUGUUCGGGAAGGAAACUUCCUGAGUAACGCAGCUAACGCGUGAAGUCGACCGCCUGGGGAGUACGGCCGCAAGGUUAAAACUCAAAGGAAUUGACGGGGACCCGCACAAGCGGUGGAUGAUGUGGAUUAAUUCGAUGCAACGCGAAAAACCUUACCUACCCUUGACAUGCCAGGAAUCUUGGUGAGAGCCGAGAGUGCCUUCGGGAGCCUGGACACAGGUGCUGCAUGGCUGUCGUCAGCUCGUGUCGUGAGAUGUUGGGUUAAGUCCCGCAACAAGCGCAACCCUUGUCGUUAAUUGCCAUCAUUGAGUUGGGCACUUUAGCGAGACUGCCGGUGACAAGCCGGAGGAAGGUGG